AGAUCAGCUUAGUUGGUCAGAGCAUAGUGCUAAUAACACUGAGACUGUGGGUUCAAAUCUCAUAUGGGCCA
Lamprotornis superbus is the source of this 71-nucleotide non-coding RNA. The record is from the annotation of a GenBank genome assembly. Lineage: Eukaryota; Metazoa; Chordata; Aves; Passeriformes; Sturnidae.